Molecule: ribosomal RNA, 497 nt
Filed under: uncultured bacterium
Lineage: Bacteria
Description: partial 16S ribosomal RNA
Rfam family: Bacterial small subunit ribosomal RNA
Source: RNAcentral
GAUGAACGCUGGCGGCGGGCCUAAUACAUGCAAGUCGAGCGAACAGACGAGGAGCUUUCUCCCCUGACGUGAGCGGCGGACGGGUUAGUAACACGUGGACAACCUACCUAUAAGACUGGGAUAACUGCGGGAAACCGGAGCUACUACCGGGUAAUAGAUUGAACCGGAUGGUUCAAUAGUGAAAGACGGUUUUGCUGUCACUGAUAGAUUGAUCCGCGCCGCAUUAGCUAGUUGGUAAGGUAACGGCUUACCAAGGCAACGAUGCGUAGCCGACCUGAGAGGGUGAUCGGCCCCACUGGAACUGAGACACGGUCCAGACUCCUACGGGAGGCAGCAGUAGGGAAUCUUCCGCAAUGGGCGAAAGCCUGACGGAGCAACGCCGCGUGAGUGAUGAAGGUCUUCGGAUCGUAAAACUCUGUUAUUAGGGAAGAAGAAAUGUGUAAGUAACUAUGCACGUCUUGACGGUACCUAAUCAGAAAGCCACGGCUAACUACGUG